RNAcentral lists this ribosomal RNA (449 nucleotides) under uncultured bacterium. RNAcentral describes it as "bacterial SSU rRNA". It matches the Rfam family "Bacterial small subunit ribosomal RNA", at positions 29 to 523 of the family's 1533-position model. The record is from RNAcentral.
AACGAACGCUGGCGGCAGGCCUAACACAUGCAAGUCGAGCGCACUCUUCGGAGUGAGCGGCGGACGGGUUAGUAACGCGUGGGAAUGUACCCUUCUCUAAGGAAUAGCCUCGGGAAACUGAGAGUAAUACCUUAUACGCCCUUCGGGGGAAAGAUUUAUCGGAGAAGGAUCAGCCCGCGUUAGAUUAGAUAGUUGGUGGGGUAAUGGCCUACCAAGUCUACGAUCUAUAGCUGGUUUUAGAGGAUGAUCAGCAACACUGGGACUGAGACACGGCCCAGACUCCUACGGGAGGCAGCAGUGGGGAAUCUUGGACAAUGGGCGCAAGCCUGAUCCAGCCAUGCCGCGUGAGUGAUGAAGGCCUUAGGGUCGUAAAGCUCUUUCGCCUGUGAUGAUAAUGACAGUAGCAGGUAAAGAAACCCCGGCUAACUCCGUGCCAGCAGCCGCGGUAA